GACGAACGCUGGCGGCGUGCUUAACACAUGCAAGUCGAACGGAAAGGCCCUGCUUUUGUGGGGUGCUCGAGUGGCGAACGGGUGAGUAACACGUGAGUAACCUGCCCUUUACUUUGGGAUAACUUCAGGAAACUGGGGCUAAUACCGGAUAGGAGCUCCUGCUGCAUGGUGGGGGUUGGAAAGAUUCGGCGGUUGGGGAUGGACUCGCGGCUUAUCAGCUUGUUGGUGGGGUAGUGGCUUACCAAGGCUUUGACGGGUAGCCGGCCUGAGAGGGUGACCGGCCACAUUGGGACUGAGAUACGGCCCAGACUCCUACGGGAGGCAGCAGUGGGGAAUAUUGCACAAUGGGCGGAAGCCUGAUGCAGCAACGCCGCGUGCGGGAUGACGGCCUUCGGGUUGUAAACCGCUUUCGCCUGUGACGAAGCGUGAGUGACGGUAAUGGGUAAAGAAGCACCGGCUAACUACGUG
Molecule: ribosomal RNA, 468 nt
Filed under: uncultured bacterium
Lineage: Bacteria
Description: partial 16S ribosomal RNA
Rfam family: Bacterial small subunit ribosomal RNA
Source: RNAcentral